RNAcentral lists this unclassified non-coding RNA (340 nucleotides) under uncultured fungus. RNAcentral describes it as "partial contains small subunit ribosomal RNA, internal transcribed spacer 1, and 5.8S ribosomal RNA". The stretch from base 1 to 73 matches the Rfam family "Eukaryotic small subunit ribosomal RNA", at positions 1759 to 1831 of the family's 1831-position model. The record is from RNAcentral. Lineage: Eukaryota; Fungi.
UCAAACUUGGUCAUUUAGAGGAAGUAAAAGUCGUAACAAGGUUUCCGUAGGUGAACCUGCGGAAGGAUCAUUAUUGAAACAUUGUAAAGGAGGGUUGAGCUGGUCCUUCAAGGACAAGUGCUCGCUUUUCUUUCAAUCUUCAUCCACCUGUGCACCUUUUGUAGAGAGCUCUGAGAAAUGUGAGCCCUUUGGGUUCUAAGUAUCAGGUUCUCUAUGUCUUUAUACACUCUGAAUGUAUGUCUUUGAAUGUCUUUACAAGGAAUCCUUAAUUGGACCUUUUAAAAACUAUACAACUUUCAGCAACGGAUCUCUUGGCUCUCGCAUCAAUGAAGAACGCAGC